CUUGGGCUUUCAUAUUUAAAUUCGAAUUGGGCCAGUCUUUUAUUUAAUUGGCUCUUCUCAUUAUUUUUAUUGAGCAUGAAUUAAUUUAAGGAAUUGGGCUUUGUCUUUUAAUUCUUUGGGCUGCUGUAUCAUAUCAACUGAGCCGAGUUUUAUUUAAUUUUAAGCUCAGAAUAAUUCAUUCUAUUCUUGGGCUAAUUUUAAAUUAUGGAUUGAAAUUUUAUUUAGUUGGGCCUUACAUGAUUUAUUUAAUUGAGCCCAACUAUUCAUUAUUUAAUCAUUUGGGCCAAGAUUUAUUUAAUUACUAAGCCCAAUGAAUUAUUUCAAUUGGACCUUUCAUUUUAGCUAUCCAGGCCCAUUUCUACUUAAUUAAUUAUUGGGCUACCUUAUGUUGAGCCUUUUAAUUAUUCGAACUCAUAACAUUUCAAAUUCUCAUUAUUAAGCCCGGUUGAUUAUGAGUUAUAAAGCGAAUAAGCUGAAGUAUUUAAUUAUUUUCUAUCGACUACGAGGAGCGGGAUUUAUUUAAUUGGCGGAUUAGAACAACCUAAGAGAACGGAUUAAUUUUUAUUAAUUAUCUGGCUUCAUGAGACGAGACUUACUUUUGUUUAAAUCCGAUAGCCUGGAUUAACAAUAGAAAUUCCCUGAUUAUUAUUUCAGAAUAAUAAUUCAUGCAUAAGGAUCAUGCAUAGUUAAAUAUACAUUCUCAUUUGAGGAUUUUUAUUCGAGCAAAUAUCUUAUAUAUGUACAUAUAUUCUCGUAAUAAAGGUCAAGGGCGAGAUUGAUAAUCUGUUGAGGAGCUUUCGUAUCACAGAAAAUCACUAUCAGGUUGAGCAGCUGCCGAUGGUGAUGAAGUGACGAGCGGGACUCUUUUGUCUUAUUAUGUAUUAAUGAACUCUAGGGUUACAUGUCUUCAUACAUGUAAUCAGAACCUUAUUCCGCUGCGUACUCAGAAGUUUUAUGUUAUCUUGGAUAAGUCGGAGUUAUCCGAACUUACUAGUUAUUUGAGUCUAUACGACUAAAACUCCGUUAUAUUAUAAAUAUCCCUGUUGUUAACAA
This is a long non-coding RNA of Salvia miltiorrhiza (redroot sage), 1053 nucleotides long. RefSeq lists it as uncharacterized. The transcript is spliced from 2 exons. NCBI's taxonomy places the organism in Eukaryota, Viridiplantae, Streptophyta, Magnoliopsida, Lamiales, Lamiaceae. The record is from RefSeq and is a predicted model, not a curated record.